UACAGAGGGUGCGAGCGUUGUUCGGAAUUAUUGGGCGUAAAGGGCGCGUAGGCGGUGCGGUAAGUCACCUGUGAAAUCUCCUGGCUUAACUGGGAGCCUGCAGGCGAAACUACCGUGCUGGAGUGUGGGAGAGGUGCGUGGAAUUCCCGGUGUAGCGGUGAAAUGCGUAGAUAUCGUGAGGAAGACCAGUGGCGAAGGCGGGUCUCUGGACAGUUCCUGACACUGAGGCACGAAGGCCAGGGGAGCAAACGGG
Molecule: ribosomal RNA, 253 nt
Filed under: uncultured bacterium
Lineage: Bacteria
Description: partial 16S ribosomal RNA
Rfam family: Bacterial small subunit ribosomal RNA
Source: RNAcentral